Molecule: ribosomal RNA, 465 nt
Filed under: uncultured bacterium
Lineage: Bacteria
Description: partial 16S ribosomal RNA
Rfam family: Bacterial small subunit ribosomal RNA
Source: RNAcentral
GACGAACGCUGGCGGCGUGCUUAACACAUGCAAGUCGUACGGUAAGGCCCUUUCGGGGGUACACGAGUGGCGAACGGGUGAGUAACACGUGAGUAACCUGCCCACAACUUUGGGAUAACGCUAGGAAACUGGUGCUAAUACUGGAUAUGUGCUCCUGCUGCAUGGUGGGGGUUGGAAAGCUCCGGCGGUUGUGGAUGGACUCGCGGCCUAUCAGCUUGUUGGUGGGGUAGUGGCCUACCAAGGCGGCGACGGGUAGCCGGCCUGAGAGGGUGACCGGCCACAGUGGGACUGAGAUACGGCCCAGACUCCUACGGGAGGCAGCAGGGGGGAAUAUUUCACAAGGGGCGCAAGCCGGAUGCAGCAACGCCGCGGGCGGGAUGACGGCCUUCGGGUUGUAAACCGCUUUCAGCAGGGACGAAGCUUUUUGUGACGGUACCUGCAGAAGAAGCACCGGCUAACUACGUG